CUCUACUUGAAUGUUGCGUACCUAAUUUUUUAGUGGCCAACAAUCUUGCACUGAUUCUUGCUAGGGGUCAUCAAGGAAACUCAAUAGAUGGCUAUUUCAGUGGAGAUUAUACCAGAGAUGUUGUUUUGAAAGUAUAUGCCAGGAGAGAAAGAUAUACUUGAAACCCGAUGAGGUCAAUGAUGUGGAGAUUUUACCAGAGAUGUUGUUUUCAAGUAAGAUUUUGUGUGAGAUUAUAUCGAUCGCACCAGCACGCCACAUUGUUGCUCCACGGCAAAGGCAGCGAGCGACUGGCUGGCUGCUGCUGGCUUGUACGUGUGGAAGGCAGUUGUUCACGGCAGACCAGUGAGCGGCGGCGGGUGGGCGCGACCACAUGGUGGUUGGAAGACUGAUCCCGGAGAGGAGAACAAGCCUCCGAGCACGUGCUCGUCAACUCCAUGCCGGCCGCUCCAAGCGCCCCUGCUUCGUGUCUUCAAGGCAGGCGCCGAGAUAGCCUUUGCAGCGAGCUGUGGUGUGUGGACUCUGCGGCGAGAUGGGAUUCAGAAUCCUUUUCCGUGAUAGCACAUCCAAGGAAGGAAGGAGAUUGAGGUUGGCACCUCCUGAAGGCAUGCAUGCUCUUCACCGAGAGAGGGAAGGGCAUCUUUUUCUUGGGUUGCAGUUUCCACCUUGUUGUUGGGUGAGCUGAUUCGUUGUUUGUCAGAGCUCUUGUGGAUAAUCAGACAUGGGGUGCAUGGCAAAAUUAGGACAGACUGAAGGCAGCAAAUUCUGC
Triticum aestivum (bread wheat) is the source of this 766-nucleotide RNA transcript. RefSeq lists it as uncharacterized. Lineage: Eukaryota; Viridiplantae; Streptophyta; Magnoliopsida; Poales; Poaceae. The record is from RefSeq and is a predicted model, not a curated record. The transcript has 6 exons.